UGGAUAAGCUGUUGAUAUAGAAUCUGUGAUAUCUUGAGGGUUAGUUAUAUGAUUUUCCUUUGUAUUGGUAUCUAUAUAGUCUGCUUCAUAAUCUUGAUUGACUGUAGGUGCAGGUUGAUAGAAACCAACAGAGUGUUGGUUAUCUCCCUCAAAUUGCCUGUUGUCUACAUUAGAUAAAAAUAUGGGAGAUGAAGAUGUAGUAAUAUUCUUGAAUGGAAACACAUGUUCUCUGAAAAUAACAUCUCUGCUUACAAAGAAAGAGUUAGUAGUCAAGUCAUAUAACACAUAACCUUUUUGUACCUCCGAAUAUCCCAUAAAAACUGUAGAUUUUGCUCUUGGUUUCAUUUUGUCUAAUUCAUUUACUGUUUUGGCAUAGCGAAGAAACCCUAUAACUCUUAGGUGAAUUAGAUAAGGUUUUCUUUUGUAUAACUUUUCAAAUGGUGAAACUCCUACUACUGAUGAAGGAAGUCUAUUAAUUAUGUAUACAGUUGCAAGAACAUACUGCCCCCAAAAUUAAUAGGUAUGUUAGCCUGAAAUUUAAUAUCUCUAGUUACUUCUAGUAUGUGUCUAUGUUUUCUCUCAGCUACACCAUUUUGCUGAGGAGUAUACACACAAGAUCUUUGAUGAAUGAUACCCAAUCCUUUAAAUAGAUUAGUACAGGCAGUAUUUACAAACUCUAUUCCAUUGUCUGUUCUUACUAUUUUAACAUUCUUUUUUAAUUGUGUUUGAACAAAAUUUAGGAAAUACUGAAUAAUUACACACACACCAGACUUCAACUUUAAUAAGUAAAUCCAAGUUAUUCUAGAGUAGUCAUCAACUAUAGUCAAGAAGUAUUUAUUUCCAUCAAAUGUAGGAACUUUAUAGGGCCCCCAGAUAUCAAUGAGCAGUAGUUCAAAACAAUCAGUACUUUUAAUAAAACUUGCAAGAAAAGGUAAUCUAGUUUGUUUUGCACAAGGACGCACAUUGCACUUACUUAACACUUCAGCUAUAGACUCUACUUUAUUCGGAACCAUUUUCUUAAGAACAGAUAAGAACUCAUGGCCAAAUCUUGUAUGCCAUAGGCUUAAGUCUUCUGCACUAAGCACUUCCUUUACAAGUAAAUUGAAAGUUCUAUCUUUAUUAGCAAGGUGACUCAGUAGAAUGUAUAGGCCAUCUCUUUCUUUACCAAUCUCUCUCACCCUCCAAUUGAAGAGAUCCUGAAAAAUACAAAAAUAAGGGUAGAAGGUUGCUCCACAGGCUAAUUCCUUAGUCAUUUUUGACACAUACAUUAGAUUGAAUUUAAAUUGAGGUAAAUGAAAAAUAUUACUAAGUGUACUCCUAGCAGAUAUUGAACUGGUUCCAGUAUGAGUAACAUUUGAAAUUUCACCAUUCGGAAGACAAACUCUCUUAGGAUUAACAUUUGCAACUAUAGACUCUUGAUUUAACAUGUUAGUAUCAGAUAUCAUAUGGUUAGUUGCACCUGUAUCAAUAAUCCAUUAUUUUGGACAAUUAGAAACCAUCAGUGCAAUACUCAUACCUACUGUAUUAGCUGCAUUAGCUGAUGAAUUGUUAUUGUUGCCUUCCAGAUUUGUUUUGUUUAGAAUUUAUAUAAUCUGUUCAUAUUGGUCUUUUGUGAAUUCUCCUAUAUGUGGUACUGAAUUCUCAGUAACUUGACCAUUUGCCAUUUGAGAAACUUGCUGCUGAUAAUUCACAUUAGGCUACGUAACUUUUGCAAAAGCAUUGUAGGUUGCUGAACCUGUUGUCGUACUUCUUGUACCACUCCUAUAAUUUUUCCUUUUAGACUUGAAGUCUUGAGGAUAACGAACGAUCUUGAAACAGUUCUCUUUACUAUGACCUCUCAUUUUAAAAAAAUCACACUGGAUAUUGUAAUUCUUUUUGUAUAUUUGAUUUCCCACAUUUUUUGUAUGCAUUGCAACAUCAUAACUUUCAGUAGUAAUAUCUGGAUUGCCCCUAAGAUUCCAGAAGUGGCUGCCAUUGCUUUUUGACUCUCAUCACUUAUAAUUAUUGAGUAUGUUCAAUUUACUGUUAGUAGAGGAUGUCUCAUAAGAAUUUGACUUUUUGCUUGAGAGUAAGACUCAUUUAGCCCCAAUAGAAACUAGUAUACCUUCAGUUUUUGUAGGUAGACUACAAAAUCUCUGGAUCUUGGGUAAUCACAACAAGGAACUUGAAUUAAUGACUCAUAUUCUUCCCACAUAUCCUUAAGUUUGGAAUAAUACACAGAAACUGAAGAAGUGCCCUAAGUAAGAGUAGCAAUUUCUUUGUGUAAAUUGAAUGUUCUUGCAUCAUCUACUUUAUAAAAUCUCUCAUAUAGAUCAUCCCAAACUAUCUGAGCACUCAAUGCAUACAUAAUCCCACCAAGAAGACUACUAUUCACAACAUUCAUGAUCUACGAGAGUACAAUAUCAUUUACUCUCUCCCAAUGAUUUCCUAUGGUUGCAAGUAAAUUUUCUUUUCUACACGAACCAUCAACCAAUUAUAAUUUGUUCUUCCUAGUAACAAAACUCGCAUCGAACGAUACCAGACUGUGUAAUUUUCAAUUCCAGUCAACUGGAAUGAAAUAAUUUGUAUCCCACUGACAUCUGAAGGAUCAAGAAAGAUGGGAUGAUUAUAAUUAAUACCUGUUGUUUGAACUCCAGGUGGUUGAUUUUGAUGAGAUUCAGUCUGAUUCAGCUGAGAUCCAUUCACCUAACCAUCGUUUGCACUCAUCUUUUUCUUCUUGAAUUUUUCGACACAACCAAGAACAUACAGAAUUGAAUUGUGCAGAAGUUUGGAUCUUAAUCAAAGCUAUAUUAGAUUAGCUUUGGAGGCUCUGAUACUAUGAACUCUUUUAGAGAACAAUCAAAGUCACAAAUAUGUGACUUGAAUGAAGAAGCAGAUUCAGUAGAGGAGUAGAGGUAAGAGAGAAGAAGAGAGAAGAUAGAAGAUAGAAGUGGAGAGAGAAAUAAUCUUUC
This 2951-nucleotide long non-coding RNA is filed under the name Nicotiana benthamiana. RNAcentral's name for it is "long non-coding RNA (NBEN_LNC018132)". Lineage: Eukaryota; Viridiplantae; Streptophyta; Magnoliopsida; Solanales; Solanaceae. The record is from RNAcentral.